This 366-nucleotide unclassified non-coding RNA is filed under the name Hevea brasiliensis (rubber tree). Lineage: Eukaryota; Viridiplantae; Streptophyta; Magnoliopsida; Malpighiales; Euphorbiaceae. The record is from RNAcentral.
AUCUGCUUUCCCUUAGAAGCAUUCGCUAUUUGCUCGAACAUGCUUAAAGCCGAGGGAUGAGUCAGAAUCCAAGAAUUUUUCUCUUCAGUUUCAGAUAAAGAAGCGGUGGAUUUGACACGGGUAGGAGAAGAAUCUCUCAUAGAAUCAACCCAAGCAUUAGUUUUUGCUGCUGCUCCUCCCGUUUCAAUCUUCUUUGCAAGGCUAGGAGCAGGUAAUGGAUUCGGCACAGCCGGUGAAAAUAUAGAUUUGCGCACGAUAAACCUGAUCCUACUCGAUUUGGCAUCGGAUGCUACAACAUUCUGGUUCGUCAUUUCCACUUUUCAACAGGCAGCAGAGGGAAGAACACACACUGAAGAUUUGAGAAGA